CCUACGGGUGGCAGCAGUGAGGAAUAUUGGUCAAUGGGCGUAAGCCUGAACCAGCCAAGUCGCGUGAGGGAUGAAGGUUCUAUGGAUCGUAAACCUCUUUUAUAAGGGAAUAAAGUGUGGGACGUGUCCUGUUUUGUAUGUACCUUAUGAAUAAGGAUCGGCUAACUCCGUGCCAGCAGCCGCGGUAAUACGGAGGAUCCGAGCGUUAUCCGGAUUUAUUGGGUUUAAAGGGUGCGUAGGCGGCCUUUUAAGUCAGCGGUGAAUGUAUGUGGCUAAACCAAAGAGUUGCCGUUGCAACGGGGAGGCUUGAGUAUGUUUGAGGCAGGCGGAAGGCGUGGUGUAGCGGUGAAAUGCUUAGAUAUCACGCAGAACCCCGAUUGCGAAGGCAGCCUGCCAAGCCAUGACUGACGCUGAUGCACGAAAGCGUGGGGAUCAAACAGGAUUAGAUACCCCAGUAGUC
RNAcentral lists this ribosomal RNA (460 nucleotides) under uncultured bacterium. Its description in RNAcentral is "partial 16S ribosomal RNA". It matches the Rfam family "Bacterial small subunit ribosomal RNA", at positions 338 to 795 of the family's 1533-position model. The record is from RNAcentral.